RNAcentral lists this ribosomal RNA (901 nucleotides) under Triticum aestivum (bread wheat). RNAcentral's name for it is "partial small subunit ribosomal RNA". Lineage: Eukaryota; Viridiplantae; Streptophyta; Magnoliopsida; Poales; Poaceae. The record is from RNAcentral.
GUUGGGGGAAGGGGCCAGUGGGGAAAGAGAGGGAGGACAAGUUAGCUGGCUGGCUGGCUGGUGUGGCGAGCAGGGGCGGCCUGGACCACGCCGCGGGGCGCGACGGUGCGGCUGACCCCCUAUUCCGGUGAGGGACCGCGGAGCCAGGGGACGGUGAAAGGGGUGAGCUGGGGGAGGGGAAGGAGGGAGCGAGUGGAGAGAGAGCUAGACCUAGCUCCGGCUCGCCGCGCCAGCGGCACACCACGGGUAUUGGCGCCGGUGGCGGCAACUAAACGGUCGUGCGGCACGGACGCUCCAGGCGGAGUCCCAGAAGAAGGUGAUGUGGCUACUUGCGGAGGCCUCCUCGUCGUUCUGUUGCGCUGGCUUGGGGUAGAGGUUGGAAGACGUAGCGUCCGCCGGUAGAAGUUAAGCGGUGGUGGCCUCUGAGGGCUCGGGCGACGGACAGGGAUGUUCGUGGCGAUGCAACCUCGGGUCCUCGGUCUGCGGUGAUAGCUACUGCUGAUGAUGAUGAGCCCUCAACGGAUGAUGAUGCACGUCGGGCGACUGUUGCUGGUCCUCAUCAAUCCUCCUAGGGUCCAUCCUCCGGACGCGGAGAAAGCUAGACAUAGGGUCAAACACAAUCGGAAGAAUUCCGUUUGAUGAAAUUGAAUACAGAUAUGAGUCUAUAACAACGAAGACGACUGAGCAGAUACUAGCUCGAGAACAUAAGCUCGGAAACUCCGGGGACCGAACAUUAUACUACGAACAUACUGAAGAAAAUAAACAUCUCAACACAACACUAUAGAAGGGCACUCAGGGACUAGAACUAGCAUGUGUAAACGCACAUACUAAUCACAUACUAACUUAUCCCCCGCAGUGUGGAUGUAAUAUAAAUACUUGACCUCGAUCACAGCAUAGCGGG